GGGACUUAGAUGUCAGGAAAAGGGAACUGAGUAGCCAUUCGAGGGUGAGAACCAAAGCCACGGGAUCCUCUUGUGUGUGCAGUGACGGUCUGGAAGAGCUCAGGCUAUUCUGCAAGAUGUCCUAAAACGCUGACAAUGUGUGACCGUCCCAUUUCUCAAGGGCAUUCCCUGGAAGGGACCACAGAGUCUGGGGCCAGCUCCGCCUGGGGUCAUGCAGCCACAUCAGCAUGAACUUGAGCAUUAUCUGACCUCAAGUGAUGCCCAGUAGCUGAUUGGGUUGUGGAAGAAAAAUAUUGGAAUAGGUAACUUCAGUUUUUACUUAAAAAUGAAGGAAAUAUUAAAUAUACUAAAUGGACUGAUAGCUUCCCUUGCUUGCACGAGAUGGUGCUUCUCACGCAGAGCCCUAAUGUGUGGUGAAGGCGCAGCGGGCUCUUUCUUAUUUCCCCUUGCCUGUACGACUCAUAGGGGAGAGUGAAUAGCUUGCUUGUUUCUGACUUGAAAUCAAUUCUGCUUCCUGCUCAACUGAAAUUCGGGGCAACGGAGUUGGGCUGUCUGGUAGAUGCCCAUUAUUUACUUGUCAAGUAACAUCACAAGGCAUUGAUAGAUAAAAGAGGAAGCAUUGUCUUUGUGUGAAAAGAAGCCAACUUCUGAUAUUUAAAAACACUAUAAAACUUGACUCUUUUUCUUGUUUUUUUUUUUUUUUUUUUUUUUUUUUUUUUAGAGAAGAACAUUGUCAAACUCAAGAAAAUACAUUCCUUUAGCUUUACAAGAGGCUAAUUCUGUUGUGCUGUUAACCAAAUUUGCCAAUUUUUUUUGUUUCAUUUUUAAAUUGGCCUCUGACUAGGUUUCUCUGUCCUUCUUAGUCAUUGUCCCUCUGUCUGUCUUUUCAUUCUGCUUCUCCCUUCUUAUCAGUCUAGUCUCGGGGCAGUCAAUGUUAGACUCUUGGUAGAUGUGCGUACUUUACGUGAAUGGGUAUGUGCUAUUUUUGCUUGAGCAGCAUUUUCCCCCUUUCUUCUGGGAAUAGCUCCUCUGUAACUUUGGAAGGCCCCUCCUGUUACCAGUAGGGCUGUCAAUCACACAUCCCCCAAACCUCGAUCAGUGUCCUGGUGGUGGGGCUGGGCUCAGACCAGGACUUGGUGGAACACAACCAGAGACGGGAGCCCUCUAUCUGCUGGUAUCUCUCUGGCUGUUAGGACCAGGGAGACUCGGAGCAUUCCAUAGCCAGCUUUGUACUACACGAGGGAGGCUUGCCCAGUCACAAAAUCAAGGAAUGUCCAGGUAAGGGGAGCAGAGGGUGACUCCAUGUGGGAGUCUCUGUCCGUCUCCGCUGGACACUAGCUACACCGCAGGAUUCUCCGUGCCUCCAGUAAUUCGAUUUCCUAGUUUUGCUUAGACUAGCUGGUGACGGUGUGUCUUACGUGCUGCUCCAUUGUGUCUGGGUAAGAUGGCAUCGCAGAGACAAAACCGUAUGAUCUCAUCAGUGCGGCUACAAGAAUGACAAUUUCAUUGUGUUCAAAUAACAGCCGUCAUGUGGUCAGAGACUCUAAAAUCUCAUCCCCUCUCAUUGCUUUGGUCUUCUGAGCACUUGGAGCCUCAGUUUUCUUGAAAAGAGAGGGAGAAGCAUCUACCUGACCUUCUCACACAGAGACUCUGGAAGCCAAUAAAGCAUAAGAGAACAUUUACAAACUGUCGGCCUCUAUAAAAAUGUAACCUGUUGGGACAUACUGGGCGUCUCAGUGGGUUGUGCGUUUGCUCAGGUCAUGAUCCCAGGGUCCUGGAAUCGAAUCCCACAUCAGGCUCCUUGCUCAGCGGGGAGCCUGUUUCUCCCUCUCCCUUUGCCUGCUGCUCCCCCUGCUUAUGCUCUCUU
Mustela lutreola (European mink) is the source of this 1867-nucleotide long non-coding RNA. RefSeq lists it as uncharacterized. NCBI's taxonomy places the organism in Eukaryota, Metazoa, Chordata, Mammalia, Carnivora, Mustelidae. The transcript has 3 exons. The record is from RefSeq and is a predicted model, not a curated record.